Molecule: long non-coding RNA, 509 nt
Filed under: Gallus gallus (chicken)
Lineage: Eukaryota; Metazoa; Chordata; Aves; Galliformes; Phasianidae
Description: long non-coding RNA NONGGAT005361
Source: RNAcentral
CCUGUAGGCAGCUCCGCGCUGCGGAGUGGGUCUGGGGGGGUCCCGUUGGAGGCAGACACCCUUGGGUGGUGUCUCUGCUGAGGAGGCUUUAACCGGAACAGCAAACUGGAGCAUGUUUUGGAUUCAGUGUGGAGUCUGAGGUUGGGGUUGAAUCCCUUCCUGCAUCAGCAUGGUGUGCUCAGCCUCAGAGGUCCCACAGCUCCAGGAUGAGGGCUGAACUGAGCAGUGCACAUCAAACGAAGCUGAAGUCCUACAGAGGGAGGAGUGUAACGGUGUGGGCCACGGGUGUGUAGAGACUGCAACAGUGGGUUGUGAGAUUCUGUAGUACAGAAGGGCAUGGAGGCGUUAUUUCCCUUUUAUGACAGGUUACCACAAACCACCACUGGCGAAUACAAUUAAAUAUAAUAAAUAUAAUUUUUGAAAGUCAGGAUGACUCCGGUCCUUUGGUUCCUAGCUGGGCCAAGCUGUGCCUUCCAAGGAUUCUUCCAGGCUGGCAGGCAUCAUGCUCU